AAUCACCUGGGUGCAGGCGGGCUGAGUCUGAAAAGAGAGUCAGCAAAGGGAGACAAGGAUUAAAUGGCUACAGGAUGGGAGUCAAAGCCUCUUUGGAAGAUUGCAUAAUGAUUGCAUCUACAUUCUCAUUGACACGUCUCACUCAAUGAAGAGCAAACUGGACUUGGUGAAGGACAAGAUCAUUCAGUUCAUACAGGAACAGCUGAAAUAUCAAAGUAAGUUUAACUUUGUGAAGUUUGAUGGUCAAGCAGUUGCUUGGCGGGAACAACUUGCUGAAGUCAAUGAAGAUAAUUUGAAACAGGCUCAGUCCUGGAUUAGACACAUAAAGAUUGGAAGCUCCACAAACACCCUGAGUGCCCUGAAAACUGCUUUUGCUGAUAAAGAAACACGGGCAAUCUACCUUCUGACCGAUGGGAGACCUGAUCAGGUACUUAUCAGAGCUGGGAACAAAGAGGGCCUCACUGAUGUUCUGAAAGCAAAUGCUGGAAAUGGGUCUGGGGGACCUUUUCAGCUGCCACCAAAAAUCCGUGGACAUAUACUUCCUUGGCUUAGGGACUCAGAUCUGAGGUG
RNAcentral lists this small RNA (570 nucleotides) under Pan troglodytes (chimpanzee). RNAcentral describes it as "retained intron". Lineage: Eukaryota; Metazoa; Chordata; Mammalia; Primates; Hominidae. The record is from RNAcentral.